AACGAACGCUGGCGGCAUGCCUAACACAUGCAAGUUGAACGAGACCUUCGGGUCUUGUGGCGCACGUGUGCGUAACGCGUGGGAACCUGCCCUUAGGUUCGGAAUAACUCCCCGAGAGGGGUGCUAAUACCGGAUAAUUUCUUCGGACCAAAGAUUUAUCGCCUUUGGAUGGGCCCGCGUUGGAUUAGCUAGUUGGUAGGGUAAAAGCCUACCAAGGGGACGUUCCAUAGCUGGUCUGAGAGGAUGAUCAGCCACACUGGGACUGAGACACGGCCCAGACUCGUACGGGAGGAAGCAGUGGGGAAUAUUGGACAAGGGGCGAAAGACUGAUCCAGCAAUGCCGCGUGAGUGAUGAAGGCCUUAGGGUUGUAAAGCUGUUUUACCCGGGAUGAUAAUGACAGUAACGGGAGAAUAAGCUCCGGCUAACUACGUG
This 433-nucleotide ribosomal RNA is filed under the name uncultured bacterium. RNAcentral describes it as "partial 16S ribosomal RNA". It matches the Rfam family "Bacterial small subunit ribosomal RNA", at positions 29 to 507 of the family's 1533-position model. The record is from RNAcentral.